This 450-nucleotide ribosomal RNA is filed under the name uncultured bacterium. RNAcentral describes it as "bacterial SSU rRNA". It matches the Rfam family "Bacterial small subunit ribosomal RNA", at positions 29 to 524 of the family's 1533-position model. The record is from RNAcentral.
AACGAACGCUGGCGGCAUGCCUAACACAUGCAAGUCGAACGAGACCUUCGGGUCUAGUGGCGCACGGGUGCGUAACGCGUGGGAAUCUGCCCUUUGCUAUGGAAUAACUCGGGGAAACUCGUGCUAAUACCGUAUGAUGUCGCAAGACCAAAGAUUUAUCGGCAAGGGAUGAGCCCGCGUAGGAUUAGCUUGUUGGUGAGGUAAAGGCUCACCAAGGCGACGAUCCUUAGCUGGUCUGAGAGGAUGAUCAGCCACACUGGGACUGAGACACGGCCCAGACUCCUACGGGAGGCAGCAGUGGGGAAUAUUGGACAAUGGGCGAAAGCCUGAUCCAGCAAUGCCGCGUGAGUGAUGAAGGCCUUAGGGUUGUAAAGCUCUUUUACCCGGGAAGAUAAUGACUGUACCGGGAGAAUAAGCUCCGGCUAACUCCGUGCCAGCCGCCGCUGUAAG